CCAGGAUGAUCUAGCUAGUAGUCAUAUGCUUGUCUCAAAGAUUAAGCCAUGCAUAUCUAAGUAUGAAUAAAAUUAGACUAGGAAACAACGAAUGGCUCAUUAAAUCAGUUUUAGUUUGUUUGAUGGUAUCUAGUACUCGAAUAACAAUAGUAAUUCUAGAGCUAAUACAUGAAAAAAACCACUAAUUCUUUAAGGGGUGCAUUUAGUAGAUAAAAAGUUAACGUGGGCUCUUCCCAUUGAUGCGAUGAUUUAGGAUAACUCAUCAGAUCAUAAAGUCAUCGUAUUGGCAAUGCAUCAUUCAAAUUUUUGCCGUAUCAACUUUCAAUGGUAAGAUAGUGGCCUACCAUAGUGGUGAUGGAUGAUGAAGAAUUAGGGUUUGAUUUAGGAGAGGGAGCCUAAGAAAAAACUACCACAUUUAAGAAAGACAGCAAAUGCACAAAUUACCCUAUCCAGACACGGGGAGGUAAUGACAAUAAAUAAAAAUAGCGGGAUCAAUGAGUCUAGUAAUUUGAAUGAGUACAAUAUAAAUACCUCAACUAGGAUCUAUUGGGGGUAAGUCUAGUGCCAGCAGCCGCAUUAAUUCCUGCUCCAAUAGCAUAUAUUUAAGUUGUUCUACUUUGGGAUGGGCCAAUCGGUCUAUCUAUUGUAUGCACCAGUUAUCUCGUACCUUCUUUUGAUGAUAUACUCCUGCCCUUAACUGGCCGGUUAGUGCCUCCGGUGCUGUUACAUUAAAGAAAUUAGAGUGCUCAAAGUAAGCCUAUGCUUUGUAUACAUUAGCAUGGGAUAAUAUUAUAGGAUUUAGGUCCUAUUACGUUGGAAUUCAAGAUUGGAGUAGUGAUUAAUAGGGACAGUCGAGGGCAUUCACAUUUCUUAGUUAGAUGUGAAAUUCUUAGAUUUAGGAAAAAUGAACAAUUGCGAAAGCAUUUUCCUAGGAUGUUUUAAUUAAUCAAGAACAAAAGUUGGGGGCUCGAAAGAUGAUUAAAUACCUUUCUAGUCUCAACCAUAAAUGAUGACGACCAAGGAUUGGUGGAUGUUGCUUUUAGGGUUCCAGGGGGAGUAUCUUCGCAAGCUGAAACUUAAAGGAAUUGACAGAAGGGCAACAUCAGGAGUGAAUUCUGUGACUUAAUUUGACUGAACAUAGGGUAACAUACCAAGUCUAGACAUCGUACAGAUUGACAGACUGAGAGCUCUUUCUUGAUUCUAUUGGUGGCGGUACAUGGCCAUUCUUAGCUGGUGGAGUUAUUUGUCUAGUUAUUUCUAUUAAUGAAUGAGACCUCAUCCUGCUAACUAGCUAUGCCGAGGUAUCCCUUCAUGGCUAGUUUCUUAGAGGGACUACAACCUUUUAGGCACCAUAAAUUUGAGGUAUUAACAGGUCUAUGAUGCCCUUAGAUGUUCUGGGCUGCACGCGCGCUACAGUGACGUAUUCAAUGAUCUUAUAGCCUCUAUCGAUAGGCCCAGGUAUCUUCUAAAUUUCAUUAUAAUUGGAAUUAAUUAUUGCAAUUGUUGGACUUCAACAAGGAAUUCCUAGUAAGCAUGAGUAAUCAGCUCGCGUUGACUACAUCCCUGUGCUUUGUACACACCGCCCAUCACUCUUACCAAUUGAAUGAUCUAGUGAAAUGUUUGGAUCAUGGCAACAUAAGAGGUUUGCUGCCUACGAUGCCGUGAGAAGUCCAUUGAACCUUAAAAUAUAGAGAAAGGAGAAGUUGUAACAAGGCUUACAUAGGUAAACCUGUGGAAGG
RNAcentral lists this ribosomal RNA (1739 nucleotides) under Capsicum chinense (habanero). Its description in RNAcentral is "bacterial SSU rRNA". It matches the Rfam family "Eukaryotic small subunit ribosomal RNA". The record is from RNAcentral. Lineage: Eukaryota; Viridiplantae; Streptophyta; Magnoliopsida; Solanales; Solanaceae.